This 2044-nucleotide long non-coding RNA is filed under the name Marmota monax (woodchuck). Lineage: Eukaryota; Metazoa; Chordata; Mammalia; Rodentia; Sciuridae. The record is from RNAcentral.
UUGGGUUUUUUUUUUUUGAUAGAUGAUUAUUAAGGAUAUAGAAAUGCAUCUGCUUUUCUCAGGUGGAUUUUGUCUCCAGAACCUUGACUGAACUUGUUAAUUAGUUCUAACAGUUUUCAUUGGUAAAGAGUGUAGCAUUCUCUAUGAAGAGGACUUGUCCUCUGCCAACAGAGGCGGCCCUUCCUUGUUCCUUCCUGGUUUGGAUUCCUGUGGUUUCUUUUUCCUCUCAGAUUCCUCUGUCUGGGGUCUUCAGCACUACAUGGAACAGACAUUGCUGCAGUGUGGGCAGCCUCACCUUGGUCAUGAUCUUAAGGAAAAGCCACUACAUACAUACAUACAUACAUACAUUUUUCGGCCACUACAUACAACAUUUGAUGUGGUAGAUCCUGUGUGACCUUUAUUGUCUUGUGGUGCAUUCCUUUUUACCUAAUUUUUGUAGGCCAUCCGUCAUGAAAGAGUGUUGAUUUUUUUCAGAAUCAUCGUUCUACACCUAAUGAGAUAAUAUGAUUUUAUCUUUCAUUCUGUCAGUACAGUUGACCACAUUGAAUUAUUUUUGUGCUUUGAAACAUUUUUGCAACUGGGAUAAAUCUCAUUUGGUCCUAGUGCAUGAUUUAAUCAUGUUCUGUUGAAUUUAUUCUACCAGUAUUAAGGAUUUUUCUGUCUAUGGAAAUGAGGUAUAUUGCCCUGUACCUAUAGGUUUUGCUAAUAUUACAGUAACUGUACAAUCUGGCCUAUUCAAAGCUCAUCCAAGUUGUAUUAAGAAUCCUCCUUCUCAGACAGGAAAGAGAAAGCUAAGCACAUCCCCACCAUAAUUCCUUUCUAUGAACCUGAACUCGCCCUUCUGUGCUGUUCCAGGGAUGGACCCCACACAUUGAGCAAUCGCUGUGGGAGGCCAGGCCAUAAUACUCAAUCUGUCACCUGGUACCAUUAGUCCUGCACCAAAUCCUGUGGGGAAAAGCCACAGAAGUUCUCAUUUGCAUUUACUGCAGAUUUACAUCACUGAUGUGUCCUUUAUCAAAUGAGAUCCUCUGUAGAGACACCCUGAACACACCAAUGUAUUCAUAUAACAGCUUCCUUGACUUCUGUCUUUGUGGACACAGAUAGACCCACCUCAGCAGCCACAGCAUUUCCUGGAGGGUGGGGAGCAGAUGCGGCCAUCCACCCCCUCUACAUGGAAGUUACUGAAGGCUCCAGUUCUGGCCAUUUCCAACAGUGCUGGCAGGAUAAGUACCUAGCUUUCGACAUGCUGGAUGAAGGAAGGGACACAUGCUAAGGACUUGGAAGGGUGCUCCCAAAUGAUUCUGAGGAGUAUCCAUGGUCACAUCUCCCAGGGGAUCUGCCCAGGCCUCUGUCUCCUGUAUUCUCACCAGGGCUGUUCAGCACCAGCCUUAAAACCUGCCCAUUCAGUGGGGACAAACAACCUCUCAGUAGUAAGUGUGUUGACCAUGGUGUGUCAACAUUCAAAGGUUCACAGUUACUAUGCGCAGUGAUUCGUUUUUGAAUUGCAGGAAUUUGUUCUUUGUCCCCCUAGAAAAAUGAUUUUCUCAUGAAGUUUGAUGUGUCCCUGGGAUGUUAAUCUUAUAUCAGUCUAGGUUUUUUGGGGGGAGGGUCCAAUUUUAUUUUAAGUUUUAUUUAUAUUUCACAGCAGAAUGCAUUAAAUUCUUAUUACAUAUAUAGUGCACAAUUUUUCAUGUCUCUGGUUGUUUCAGAAACACUUUGCUAGUUGUAACUUGUCUUUCUAAGUAUGUAUGUUCUUUUUGUUUUUCGAUCAGGAGUCAGUCAUUUCCUUUAUGACUUCUGACCCUUGAGUCAGAAAAAAAAAUGCUUUCAACAUAAAUGUUAUCAAAGUAUUUUCUAAGAAGCUUUCAUUUUACAUAUACACUUAGACCUGCUAGAUGAGUAGCACAUAACAAUAUCCCAGUGAUUUAGGAGGCUGAGGAAGGAGGAUUUAAAGUUGGAGGUCAGUUUCCCCAACCUAGGGAGCUCCUCAGGAACUUAGUGAGACUCCAUCUCAUAAAGAAAAAAAAAAAACUGGAGAUGAGGC